RNAcentral lists this ribosomal RNA (562 nucleotides) under uncultured bacterium. RNAcentral's name for it is "partial 16S ribosomal RNA". It matches the Rfam family "Bacterial small subunit ribosomal RNA", at positions 355 to 914 of the family's 1533-position model. The record is from RNAcentral.
UGAGGAAUAUUGGACAAUGGGUGAGAGCCUGAUCCAGCCAUCCCGCGUGAAGGACGACGGCCCUAUGGGUUGUAAACUUCUUUUGUACAGGGAUAAACCUACCCUCGUGAGGGUAGCUGAAGGUACUGUACGAAUAAGCACCGGCUAACUCCGUGCCAGCAGCCGCGGUAAUACGGAGGGUGCAAGCGUUAUCCGGAUUUAUUGGGUUUAAAGGGUCCGUAGGCGGAUCUGUAAGUCAGUGGUGAAAUCUCACAGCUUAACUGUGAAACUGCCAUUGAUACUGCAGGUCUUGAGUAAAUUUGAAGUGGCUGGAAUAAGUAGUGUAGCGGUGAAAUGCAUAGAUAUUACUUAGAACACCAAUUGCGAAGGCAGGUCACUAAGAUUUAACUGACGCUGAUGGACGAAAAGCGUGGGGAGCGAACAGGAUUAGAUACCCUGGUAGUCCACGCCGUAAAACGAUGCUAACUCGUUUUUGGGUUUUUCGGAUUCAGAGACUAAGCGAAAGUGAUAAGUUAGCCACCUGGGGAGUACGUUCGCAAGAAUGAAACUCAAAUGAAUUGAC